AUCAAUCUUGAGCCAGUGAGACUCGAACUGCCAAGAGUCAGCAGAAUUAGCCUGCAAUACUACAUUCUAACCUCUGCACCACAUCCAUUAUCAGGUUCCACCUCUCCUUGUUUCCCUUUUCUGAUUGCCAACAGAGAAGCAUUAAGUUUGUGAUUUAUAUGAGAGUCAAUGGGGCGUUUACUGUGGGAUUAGAAAGAUUAGAAAGAAGGCAGAACAUAGAAUAAUAGGGUUGGAAGAGAUCUCAGAAGUCUUCUAGCCAACUCCCUGCUCGAACAGGAGACCUUAUAUCAUUUCAGAUAAAUCUCCUUCAGUUAUGGAGCACCCACAGCUUCUGAAGGCAAGUUAUUCCAUUGGUUAAUUGCUUUCACCAUUAGGCAAUUUCUCCUUAGUUCUAGGCUGCCUCCCUCCUUGGUUCAUUUCCAAUCAUGGAUGGAGGGGUUCCAGCAAUAACCAAGGACUUCCCAUUUUGUUUCCAGAAUACAAUAAGGAAUUGAGUACAGGAAUAAAAGAUGGCAAGGUCCCUUCCAACUCUGUUAUUCUAUGCUAUUCUUCUUCUAUUUGGAGUUACCGAUCUGGCAGAAUAAGUGCACUCUGAGCCUCCGCAAUUAAACGGUGUCAUCUUUUGAGACCCAGGAAGGGUACAAUGUCUGUGGUGGCACCUUCUCUUUCGAAUUAGGGCCCCCAUGAGAUCCAUACAGCUCCCACUCUAAUGGUAUCCAGAAGGCCUUGAAAACCUGCCUGUUCUCCCAGAUAUUGGCGUAGGGUGGAUGGAGCUCCCCCUGUUUUUUUAUUAGUUGUCUGGAUUGCUGUCUUGCAAUUAUCUUGCAACUUGUUUUGGCCUAAUUUAUUGCAUUUCAUUGUUUUAAGUUGUGCUUAGUUCUGUGAGAAGCACAGAAUUUGUUGGAGUCCGGCAGCUUCAAAAGUAUAGUAAAUAAACCAAGCACAACACAAUAAUGCAUGAAC
This is a long non-coding RNA of Thamnophis elegans (Western terrestrial garter snake), 963 nucleotides long. RefSeq lists it as uncharacterized. The record is from RefSeq and is a predicted model, not a curated record. Lineage: Eukaryota; Metazoa; Chordata; Lepidosauria; Squamata; Natricidae. The transcript is spliced from 2 exons.